Long non-coding RNA from Cyanistes caeruleus (blue tit), 1175 nucleotides. RefSeq lists it as uncharacterized. NCBI's taxonomy places the organism in Eukaryota, Metazoa, Chordata, Aves, Passeriformes, Paridae. The record is from RefSeq and is a predicted model, not a curated record.
CACCGGGGCGGGACAGGGCACACCGGGACACACCGGGGCGGGACACUGGGUCGGGCACAGGUGGUACCAGCGAUUCCCUCCGGUCAGGGCUGGAUACAAAGCGCGUUGGCAGGAGUAGUAUUGAGGCUUGUGUGGCGCUUUCUUUCGCUGCCACAUGGCUUUUAAAGAGGCGACACCUGAAAUGUUUGGGUUUUAAGCCAAGGUUAAAGGUCCAAAUGAAAAAGGCGAAGUCAGCAUAGCGUCUGUGGCUCUCUAUAAUGCCAUUUAAGUGUAUUUCUAGUAUAAAAGACUUCGGGGUGUGUUGACUGCUACCUGAGGAAGGACCCUUACAGAAAACAAUGGUUUUUUACAAGCUCUGCUAGAGAUUCUAUUGCUCGCAGGCACAAGCAAAGCAUGGAGACUGAUAAUCAGUUUCAGGUGUGUCUACAGAGGAUUUCACGCAUAAAGUUAAGGAGAUGAUUCUUAAUAAAAGGACCUCCUGCACUCAGAAGAUGAGUUCUCAUAGUGGGAUUUUAUUCCUUUGGCUGGAAAGGAUUAUUGCCUAGAUGAACCUCACUUAAAUAACAAGAAAGAUGGAGAUACAACAGCUGCUGCUGACAAAUGCCUCUGAAGCCCAUGCAGCUCUUCUGUCAGAUCUCUGCUUUGCCUUUGCUGUUACACUGUACAGUGUCACUGAGCUUUAGAGUGUCUCUCACACACCUCCAUAUGGUGUUUUAAAGUCCAUAAAGGAGCAGACCGCACGUUUCUAAUGACUUCACUAAACUUAAUACAAUAAAUGUUUCCUUCCCAUAACAAUGACCUUUAAAUGUUAACUGGCUAAAAAAAAUAACAUUAUCCUUUUUUAAAAAAGGGGGGAAUGCAACUUCUGGUGCUUGAUUGUGUUACAGAAUGACAAUUUCGGUGCUGCAGGGCCCAAAUCCUUUGCAUUAAAUUUGAAACAGUAUAAUGUUUGUUUAGAAGGAAUUUAUUCCUAAUUUAUGCCCUUAUGAAAGAAGGCCUUUAAUUUUCCAAAGAGCUACUUCUGCUGUCUGUCUUUUCAAACUCACAGUCACAUCAAAUUAUAUUUCUAGCAUAUUGUUCUUAAAAUCUGACUAUCAUUUAUCCAUAUUUAUAUACAUAUAUACAAGUUUAAAAUCACUACAUUCUAGCUGCCUUCUUUUAUUUUCACCUUUUAA